This 200-nucleotide ribosomal RNA is filed under the name uncultured Sphingomonadales bacterium. Its description in RNAcentral is "partial 16S ribosomal RNA". It matches the Rfam family "Bacterial small subunit ribosomal RNA", at positions 524 to 722 of the family's 1533-position model. Lineage: Bacteria; Pseudomonadati; Pseudomonadota; Alphaproteobacteria; Sphingomonadales. The record is from RNAcentral.
UACGGAGGGAGCUAGCGUUGUUCGGAAUUACUGGGCGUAAAGCGCACGUAGGCGGCUUUGUAAGUUAGAGGUGAUAGCCUGGAGCUCAACUCCAGAAUUGCCUUUAAGACUGCAUCGCUUGAAUCCAGGCAGAGGUGAGUGGAAUUCCGAGUGUAGAGGUGAAAUCCGUAGAUAUUCGGAAGAACACCAGUGGCGAAGGC